This 494-nucleotide ribosomal RNA is filed under the name uncultured bacterium. RNAcentral describes it as "partial 16S ribosomal RNA". It matches the Rfam family "Bacterial small subunit ribosomal RNA", at positions 28 to 507 of the family's 1533-position model. The record is from RNAcentral.
GACGAACGCUGGCGGCGUGCUUAACACAUGCAAGUCGAACGGUGAAGCGCCUUCCUUUUUGGUGGGUGUGGAUGAGUGGCGAACGGGUGAGUAACACGUGAGUAACCUGCCCCCUUCUUCUGGAUAACCGCAUGAAAGAGUGGCUAAUACGGGAUAUUCUGGGUCUGUCGCAUGAUGGGUCUGGGAAAGAUCUUGUUUCGGUGGGGGAUGGGCUCGCGGCCUAUCAGCUUGUUGGUGGGGUGAUGGCCUACCAAGGCGGUGACGGGUGGCCGGCCUGAGAGGGGUGACGGUCACACUGGGACUGAGACACGGCCCAGACUCCUACGGGAGGCAGCAGUGGGGAAUAUUGCACAAUGGGCGCAAGCCUGAUGCAGCGACGCCGCGUGAGGGAUGGAGGCCUUCGGGUUGUGAACCUCUUUCGCCAGUGAAGCAGGCCUGCCUCGUUUGUGGGUGGGUUGACGGUAGCUGGAUAAGAAGCGCCGGCUAACUACGUG